UGGGGAAUCUUGGACAAUGGGGGCAACCCUGAUCCAGCCAUGCCGCGUGAGUGAUGAAGGCCUUAGGGUCGUAAAACUCUUUCGCCUGUGAAGAUAAUGACGGUAGCAGGUAAAGAAACCCCGGCUAACUCCGUGCCAGCAGCCGCGGUAAUACGGAGGGGGUUAGCGUUGUUCGGAAUUACUGGGCGUAAAGCGCACGUAGGCGGACCAGAAAGUUGGGGGUGAAAUCCCGGGGGCUCAACCCCGGAACUGCCUCCAAAACUAUUGGUCUAGAGUUCGAGAGAGGUGAGUGGAAUUCCAAGUGUAGAGGUGAAAUUCGUAGAUAUUUGGAGGAACACCAGUGGCGAAGGCGGCUCACUGGCUCGAUACUGACGCUGAGGUGCGAAAGUGUGGGGAGCAAACAGGAUUAGAUACCCUGGGUAGUCCACACCGUAAAACGAUGAAUGCCAGUCGUCGGGUAGCAUGCUAUUCGGUGACACACCUAACGGAUUAAGCAUU
RNAcentral lists this ribosomal RNA (498 nucleotides) under uncultured bacterium. RNAcentral describes it as "bacterial SSU rRNA". It matches the Rfam family "Bacterial small subunit ribosomal RNA", at positions 355 to 868 of the family's 1533-position model. The record is from RNAcentral.